RNAcentral lists this ribosomal RNA (492 nucleotides) under uncultured bacterium. RNAcentral's name for it is "partial 16S ribosomal RNA". It matches the Rfam family "Bacterial small subunit ribosomal RNA", at positions 29 to 507 of the family's 1533-position model. The record is from RNAcentral.
AGUGAACGCUGGCGGUAGGCCUAACACAUGCCAGUCGAACGGCAGCACAGUAAGAGCUUGCUCUUACGGGUGGCGAGUGGCGGACGGGUGAGGAAUACAUCGGAAUCUACUUUUUCGUGGGGGAUAACGUAGGGAAACUUACGCUAAUACCGCAUACGACCUACGGGUGAAAGCAGGGGAUCUUCGGACCUUGCGCGAUUGAAUGAGCCGAUGUCGGAUUAGCUAGUUGGCGGGGUAAAGGCCCACCAAGGCGACGAUCCGUAGCUGGUCUGAGAGGAUGAUCAGCCACACUGGAACUUAGACACGGUCCAGACUCCUACGGGAGGCAGCAGUGGGGAAUAUUGGACAAUGGGCGCAAGCCUGAUCCAGCCAUACCGCGUGGGUGAAGAAGGCCUUCGGGUUGUAAAGCCCUUUUGUUGGGAAAGAAAAGCAGCAGGUUAAUACCCCGCUGUUCUGACGGUACCCAAAGAAUAAGCACCGGCUAACUUCGUG